AUUGAAACAUUUGUUCUCGUACGAUUACCGAAGUUAAGCAACUUCGAGCCUUGUCAGUACCUAGAUGGGUAACCACUUGGGGAUAUCAGGUGCUGUAA
Acanthosepion pharaonis is the source of this 98-nucleotide non-coding RNA. The record is from the annotation of a GenBank genome assembly. Lineage: Eukaryota; Metazoa; Mollusca; Cephalopoda; Sepiida; Sepiidae.